RNAcentral lists this ribosomal RNA (253 nucleotides) under uncultured bacterium. RNAcentral describes it as "partial 16S ribosomal RNA". It matches the Rfam family "Bacterial small subunit ribosomal RNA", at positions 524 to 776 of the family's 1533-position model. The record is from RNAcentral.
UACGUAGGGGGCUAGCGUUGUCCGGAAUCAUUGGGCGUAAAGCGCGUGUAGGCGGUCCGGUAAGUCCGCUGUGAAAGUCGGGGGCUCAACCCUCGGAUGCCGGUGGAUACUGUCGGGCUUGAGUACGGAAGAGGCGAGUGGAAUUCCUGGUGUAGCGGUGAAAUGCGCAGAUAUCAGGAGGAACACCAGUGGCGAAGGCGGUGUUCUGGGCCAGUACUGACGCUGAGGCGCGAAAGCGUGGGGAGCGAACAGG